This 501-nucleotide ribosomal RNA is filed under the name uncultured bacterium. RNAcentral describes it as "bacterial SSU rRNA". It matches the Rfam family "Bacterial small subunit ribosomal RNA", at positions 28 to 517 of the family's 1533-position model. The record is from RNAcentral.
GAUGAACGCUAGCUACAGGCUUAACACAUGCAAGUCGAGGGGAAACGAUAUUGGAAGCUUGCUUCCGAUAGGCGUCGACCGGCGCACGGAUGAGUAACGCGUAUCCAACCUGCCCGUCACUUGGGGAUAACCUUGCGAAAGUAAGACUAAUACCCAAUGACGUCUCUAGAAGACAUCUGAAGGAGAUUAAAGAUUUAUCGGUGAUGGAUGGGGAUGCGUCUGAUUAGCUUGUUGGCGGGGUAACGGCCCACCAAGGCGACGAUCAGUAGGGGUUCUGAGAGGAAGGUCCCCCANAUUGGAACUGAGACACGGUCCAAACUCCUACGGGAGGCAGCAGUGAGGAAUAUUGGUCAAUGGACGAGAGUCUGAACCAGCCAAGUAGCGUGCAGGAUGACGGCCCUAUGGGUUGUAAACUGCUUUUAUAAGGGAAUAAAGUGGGAGUCGUGACUCUUUUUGCAUGUACCUUAUGAAUAGGACCGGCUAAUUCCGUGCCAGCAGCCG